This 253-nucleotide ribosomal RNA is filed under the name uncultured bacterium. Its description in RNAcentral is "partial 16S ribosomal RNA". It matches the Rfam family "Bacterial small subunit ribosomal RNA", at positions 524 to 776 of the family's 1533-position model. The record is from RNAcentral.
UACGUAGGGUGCGAGCGUUGUCCGGAAUUAUUGGGCGUAAAGGGCUCGUAGGCGGUUUGUCGCGUCGGGAGUGAAAACACCGGGCUUAACUCGGUGCUUGCUUUCGAUACGGGCAGACUAGAGGUAUGCAGGGGAGAACGGAAUUCCUGGUGUAGCGAUGAAAUGCGCAGAUAUCAGGAGGAACACCGGUGGCGAAGGCGGUUCUCUGGGCAUUACCUGACGCUGAGGAGCGAAAGUGUGGGGAGCGAACAGG